This 610-nucleotide ribosomal RNA is filed under the name uncultured Rickettsiales bacterium. Its description in RNAcentral is "bacterial SSU rRNA". It matches the Rfam family "Bacterial small subunit ribosomal RNA", at positions 67 to 710 of the family's 1533-position model. Lineage: Bacteria; Pseudomonadati; Pseudomonadota; Alphaproteobacteria; Rickettsiales. The record is from RNAcentral.
CGAGAAAUAAUCCUUCGGGAUUGUGGAAAGUGGCAAACGGGUGAGUAAUGCAGAGGAAUCUACCUAGCAGUACGGAAUAGCUCUUGGAAACGAGAAAUAAUACCGUAUAUUACCUUUCGAGGGAAAGAUUUAUCGCUGUUAGAUGAGCCUCUGUCGGAUUAGCUAGUUGGUAGGGUAAAGGCCUACCAAGGCUGUGAUCCGUAACUGGUCUGAGAGGAUGACCAGUCACACUGGGACUGCGACACGGCCCAGACUCCUACGGGAGGCAGCAGUAGGGAAUAUUGGACAAUGGGCGAAAGCCUGAUCCAGCAAUACCACGUGAGUGAUGAAGGCCUUAGGGUUGUAAAGCUCUUUUAGUAGGGAAGAUAAUGACGGUACCUACAGAAAAAGCACCGGCUAACUCCGUGCCAGCAGCCGCGGUAAUACGGAGGGUGCUAGCGUUAUUCAGAAUCAUUGGGCGUAAAGCGUGCGUAGGCGGCAUAGCAAGUUAGUUGUGAAAGCCCAGGGCUUAACCUUGGAACUGCAACUAAAACUGCUAAGCUGGAGUAUGGUAUGCGGUAGCAGAAUUUCUAGUGUAGGGGUGAAAUCCGUAGAUAUUAGAAGGAAUACC